UACGAACCGUACAAACGUUAUUCGGAAUCACUGGGCUUAAAGGGUGCGUAGGCGGCCAUGUAAGUGGGGUGUGAAAUCCCUCGGCUCAACCGAGGAACUGCGCUCCAUACUGCAUGGCUUGAGGGAGACAGGGGUAAGCGGAACUGAUGGUGGAGCGGUGAAAUGCGUUGAGAUCGGAAGGAACGCCCGUGGCGAAAGCGAGGUCCUGGACGCCUACUGACGCUGAGACGCGAAAGCCAGGGGAGCGAACGGG
Molecule: ribosomal RNA, 253 nt
Filed under: uncultured bacterium
Lineage: Bacteria
Description: partial 16S ribosomal RNA
Rfam family: Bacterial small subunit ribosomal RNA
Source: RNAcentral